AGGAAGAACAACAACAGUGGCUGGCGCCAGCCCUGGAAACCUGGAUUCAGCUCCUGCAGUAACUAUGGAGCUCUGAGUCUGCAGGGGCCUGGAUGUUCCGGGGGCGG
This 107-nucleotide microRNA precursor is filed under the name Canis lupus familiaris (dog). RNAcentral's name for it is "mir-8834 microRNA precursor family". It matches the Rfam family "mir-8834 microRNA precursor family". The record is from Rfam by way of RNAcentral. RNAcentral also lists the same sequence under 1 other name. Lineage: Eukaryota; Metazoa; Chordata; Mammalia; Carnivora; Canidae.